CAGAGAUGAACAUGAACAAAUAAUUACAUGAAUUGAAUCACAAUCUGAAGUUAAAUGUCACGAAAAUUUAAUUUAAACAAACAAACAUACAAUUUGAGUUUAGGGAGAUCAAAUUGGAUAAUAGUUGAAUCUGGGGGUGGCGCGUCGCUGGUUCGUCAUCGUUGGUGUUUCUCGACUGUUGGAGGUGAAGGCCGGAUCUGAGCGAGGGAAGGCCAGUCAUCGCUGGGGCUGGUUCGUGGAGGGAGUGGGGUCUCGUGGUGGCGUGGAGCAGCGCUGGUAUGCUGGUGUUGUUGUCACCGAUGGGGGGCUGCUGGUGGCGUUGAAGAAGAGGGAGGCGAGCUGAUCGACGUGAAUAGAGAGGGGUCGGAGGACCAUGGCUGGGACUAGCCAUCGUUGGUGGCACUGAUUUUGGAGAGGGGAGAGAGGAGAAGGAGUCUCGUCGGUAACAGAGAGAGAGACAGCGGUAAGAGAGUUUUGAGAGAGAGAAAGUAGAGAGGGAGUGUAUGGGGAAGGCUGCU
Molecule: long non-coding RNA, 518 nt
Filed under: Capsicum annuum
Lineage: Eukaryota; Viridiplantae; Streptophyta; Magnoliopsida; Solanales; Solanaceae
Description: long non-coding RNA (CANN_LNC019928)
Source: RNAcentral